Molecule: ribosomal RNA, 429 nt
Filed under: Bacteroidota bacterium
Lineage: Bacteria; Pseudomonadati; Bacteroidota
Description: Bacteroidetes bacterium partial 16S ribosomal RNA
Rfam family: Bacterial small subunit ribosomal RNA
Source: RNAcentral
UAGGGAAUCUUCCGCAAUGGACGCAAGUCUGACGGAGCAACGCCGCGUGAGUGAAGAAGGAUUUCGGUUCGUAAAACUCUGUUGUUAGAGAAGAACAGCGCAUAGAGUAACUGUUAUGCGUGUGACGGUAUCUAACCAGAAAGCCACGGCUAACUACGUGCCAGCAGCCGCGGUAAUACGUAGGUGGCAAGCGUUGUCCGGAUUUAUUGGGCGUAAAGCGAGCGCAGGCGGUCAAUUAAGUCUGAUGUGAAAGCCCCCGGCUCAACCGGGGAGGGUCAUUGGAAACUGGUUGACUUGAGUGCAGAAGAGGAGAGUGGAAUUCCAUGUGUAGCGGUGAAAUGCGUAGAUAUAUGGAGGAACACCAGUGACGAAGGCGACUCUCUGGUCUGUAACUGACGCUGAGGCUCGAAAGCGUGGGUAGCAAACAGG